This 482-nucleotide ribosomal RNA is filed under the name uncultured bacterium. RNAcentral describes it as "bacterial SSU rRNA". It matches the Rfam family "Bacterial small subunit ribosomal RNA", at positions 30 to 507 of the family's 1533-position model. The record is from RNAcentral.
AUUGAACGCUGGCGGAAUGCUUUACACAUGCAAGUCGAACGGUAGAGGGGGCAACCCCUCGAGAGUGGCGAACGGGUGAGUAAUAUAUCGGAACGUGCCCAGUCGUGGGGGAUAACGUAGCGAAAGUUACGCUAAUACCGCAUACGAUCUACGGAUGAAAGCGGGGGACUCGCAAGAGCCUCGCGCGAUUGGAGCGGCCGAUAUCAGAUUAGGUAGUUGGUGGGGUAAAAGGCUCACCAAGCCAACGAUCUGUAGCUGGUCUGAGAGGACGACCAGCCACACUGGAACUGAGACACGGUCCAGACUCCUACGGGAGGCAGCAGUGGGGAAUUUUGGACAAUGGACGCAAGUCUGAUCCAGCCAUUCCGCGUGCAGGAUGAAGGCCCUCGGGUUGUAAACUGCUUUUGUACGGAACGAAAAGGUCUCUAUUAAUACUAGGGGCUCAUGACGUACCGUAAGAAUAAGCACCGGCUAACUACGUG